GGAAAGAUGGCCCAAUGGUAAGGCAGCACAUUGCUAAUGUGUCGUACAGAAAUGUAUUGGGGGUUCGAGCCCCUCUCUUUCCG
RNAcentral lists this transfer RNA (83 nucleotides) under Eubacterium sp. AF34-35BH. RNAcentral's name for it is "tRNA-Ser". It matches the Rfam family "tRNA". From Rfam's summary of the family: Transfer RNA (tRNA) molecules are approximately 80 nucleotides in length. Their secondary structure includes four short double-helical elements and three loops (D, anti-codon, and T loops). The record is from RNAcentral. RNAcentral also lists the same sequence under 1 other name. Lineage: Bacteria; Bacillati; Bacillota; Clostridia; Eubacteriales; Eubacteriaceae.